This is a long non-coding RNA of Lontra canadensis (Northern American river otter), 513 nucleotides long. RefSeq lists it as uncharacterized. Lineage: Eukaryota; Metazoa; Chordata; Mammalia; Carnivora; Mustelidae. The transcript has 2 exons. The record is from RefSeq and is a predicted model, not a curated record.
UAUAAAUUCUAGGCUGGUCUCUAUUGUGAACGCUCUUUAUCUGAUUAUUUAAAGCCUUCUACUUUAUGGUUACUUCCUCUAUUGAACUAUUAAAUCUCCCACCGGUAAGGACCUGUCUCCAUUGCCCACCUAUUUCACAGCUGUUGGAGGGGACACUGUUUGCUGCCUUGCUCAGCCUGCCUGAGCUGUGGACAUAAUGGCUGGAGCUCUGGCAGCCUUCUUGAGAACACGAAGAUGGGGGCACAGCCCAAAGAAGUAAGAACAGAAAGCCAUAAGGAACUUGGAUAUCUACUGAUAUCACGGAACUACCAUACCAACUCCUGAACUUCCUACUUGUAGACUUAUUAUAGAAAAACUUCUUUAUGUCACUUAUUUCUUUGUUGCUUAUUUAAAGGUUUCUGCAGUAGAGAAAAAGGGCAAUUUAAUGUUAAACUGUUAAAUGUUAACCUGUUGAAUGUUUAACUGACAAAUAGGACACUUCUCUGGUUGAAAUAAAGGUAAAUGGAGACUAGA